Molecule: ribosomal RNA, 482 nt
Filed under: uncultured bacterium
Lineage: Bacteria
Description: partial 16S ribosomal RNA
Rfam family: Bacterial small subunit ribosomal RNA
Source: RNAcentral
ACGAACGCUGGCGGCGUGCUUAACACAUGCAAGUCGAACGCUGAAGCUCAGCUUUUGUUGGGUGGAUGAGUGGCGAACGGGUGAGUAACACGUGAGUAACCUGCCCCCUUCUUUGGGAUAACGCCCGGAAACGGGUGCUAAUACUGGAUAUUCACUGGUCUUCGCAUGGGGGUUGGUGGAAAGGGUUUUUCUGGUGGGGGAUGGGCUCGCGGCCUAUCAGCUUGUUGGUGGGGUGAUGGCCUACCAAGGCUUUGACGGGUAGCCGGCCUGAGAGGGUGACCGGUCACAGUGGGACUGAGAUACGGCCCAGACUCCUACGGGAGGCAGCAGUGGGGAAUAUUGCACAAUGGGCGAAAGCCUGAUGCAGCGACGCCGCGUGAGGGAUGGAGGCCGUCGGGUUGUGAACCUCUUUCGCUCAUGGUCAAGCCGCAACAAUGGUUGUGGUGAGGGUAGUGGGUAAAGAAGCGCCGGCUAACUACGUG